This 343-nucleotide unclassified non-coding RNA is filed under the name soil metagenome. RNAcentral describes it as "partial contains 5.8S ribosomal RNA, internal transcribed spacer 2, and large subunit ribosomal RNA". The stretch from base 1 to 120 matches the Rfam family "5.8S ribosomal RNA", at positions 35 to 154 of the family's 154-position model. The record is from RNAcentral.
GAUGAAGAACGUAGCGAAAUGCGAUAAGUAAUGUGAAUUGCAGAAUUCAGUGAAUCAUCGAAUCUUUGAACGCACAUUGCGCCCGCUAGUAAUCUGGCGGGCAUGCCUGUCCGAGCGUCAUUUCAACCCUCAAGCCCCCGGGCUUGGUGUUGGGGAUCGGCGAGCCUCCGCGCCCGCCGUCCCCUAAAUCUAGUGGCGGUCUCGCUGUAGCUUCCUCUGCGUAGUAGCACACCUCGCACUGGGAAACAGCGCGGCCACGCCGUUAAACCCCCAACUUCUGAACGUUUGACCUCGGAUCAGGUAGGAAUACCCGCUGAACUUAAGCAUAUCAAUAAGCGGAGGA